This 497-nucleotide ribosomal RNA is filed under the name uncultured bacterium. RNAcentral's name for it is "partial 16S ribosomal RNA". It matches the Rfam family "Bacterial small subunit ribosomal RNA", at positions 28 to 507 of the family's 1533-position model. The record is from RNAcentral.
GAUGAACGCUGGCGGCGUGCUUAAUACAUGCAAGUCGAGCGAACAGAUGAGGAGCUUGCUCCUCUGACGUUAGCGGCGGACGGGUGAGUAACACGUGGAUAAUCUACUUAUAAGACUGGGAUAACUUCGGGAAACCGGCGCUAAUACCGGAUAAUAUAUUGAACCGCAUGGUUCAAUAGUGAAAGACGGUUUUGCUGUCUCUUAUAGAUGGAUCCGCGCCGCAUUAGCUAGUUGGUACGGUAACGGCUUACCAAGGCAACGAUGCGUAGCCGACCUGAGAGGGUGAUCGGCCACACUAGAACUGAGACGCGGUCCAGGCUCCUACGGGAGGCAGCAGUAGGGAAUCUUCCGCAAUGGUCGAAAGCCUGACGGAGCAACGCCGCGUGAGUUAUGAAGGUCUUCGGAUCGUAAAACUCUGUUAUUAGGGAAAAACAAAUGUGUAAGUAACUAUGCACGUCUUGACGGUACCGAGUCAGAAAGCCACGGCUAACUACGUG